GAUGAACGCUGGCGGCGUGCCUAACACAUGCAAGUCGAGCGAAGCACUUUGCUUAGAUUCUUCGGAUGAAGAGGAUUGUGACUGAGCGGCGGACGGGUGAGUAACGCGUGGGUAACCUGCCUCAUACAGGGGGAUAACAGUUAGACAUGACUGCUAAUACCGCAUAAGACCACAGCACCGCAUGGUGCGGGGGUAAAAACUCCGGUGGUAUGAGAUGGACCCGCGUCUGAUUAGCUAGUUGGUAAGGUAACGGCUUACCAAGGCGACGAUCAGUAGCCGACCUGAGAGGGUGACCGGCCACAUUGGGACUGAGACACGGCCCAAACUCCCACGGGAGGCAGCAGUGGGGAAUAUUGCACAAUGGGGGAAACCCUGAUGCAGCGACGCCGCGUGAGCGAAGAAGUAUUUCGGUAUGUAAAGCUCUAUCAGCAGGGAAGAAAAUGACGGUACCUGACUAAGAAGCACCGGCUAAAUACGUGCCAGCAGCCGCGGUAAUACGUAUGGUGCAAGCGUUAUCCGGAUUUACUGGGUGUAAAGGGAGCGUAGACGGAUGGGCAAGUCUGAUGUGAAAACCCGGGGCUCAACCCCGGGACUGCAUUGGAAACUGUUCAUCUAGAGUGCUGGAGAGGUAAGUGGAAUUCCUAGUGUAGCGGUGAAAUGCGUAGAUAUUAGGAGGAACACCAGUGGCGAAGGCGGCUUACUGGACAGUAACUGACGUUGAGGCUCGAAAGCGUGGGGAGCAAACAGG
This 748-nucleotide ribosomal RNA is filed under the name uncultured Ruminococcus sp. RNAcentral describes it as "bacterial SSU rRNA". It matches the Rfam family "Bacterial small subunit ribosomal RNA", at positions 28 to 776 of the family's 1533-position model. Lineage: Bacteria; Bacillati; Bacillota; Clostridia; Eubacteriales; Oscillospiraceae. The record is from RNAcentral.